Molecule: ribosomal RNA, 567 nt
Filed under: uncultured bacterium
Lineage: Bacteria
Description: partial 16S ribosomal RNA
Rfam family: Bacterial small subunit ribosomal RNA
Source: RNAcentral
UACGGRAGGCAGCAGUGGGGAAUCUUGCACAAUGGGGGAAACCCUGAUGCAGCGACRCCGCGUGAGUGAUGAAGCCCUUCGGGGGUGUAAAGCUCUUUCGACCGGAACGAUGAUGACNGGUACCNGGGAGAAGAAGCUGCNGGCUAACUACGUGCCAGCAGCCGCGGUAAUACGUAGGCAGCGAGCGUUGUUCGGAGUUACUGGGCGUAAAGCGUGCGUAGGCCGGUCUUUUAAGUCUGGUGUGAAAUCUCCCGGCUUAACCGGGAGGGUGCGGCGGAAACUGGGAUGCUGGAGUGCGGGAGAGGUAAGCGGAAUUCCCGGUGUAGCGGUGAAAUGCGUASAUAUCGGGAGGAACACCUGCGAUGUAKAUGGCUUACUGGACCNGUAACUGACGCUGAGGCACGAAAGCGUGGGUAGCAAACAGGAUUASAUACCCUGGUAGUCCACGCCCUAAACGAUGCAUACUUGGUGUGGGCAGUUCAGYCUGUCUGUGCCGGAGCUAACGCCGUUAAGUGUGCCGYCUGGGGAGUCACNGGUYGCAWGGCUGAAACUCAAAGAAAUUGACSG